GAUCCGAGGCUUUAUUUGGGAUCCUCCGGGACCCUCUGGAAUCUUUGGGACCCUCUGGGACCCCUCCCCUAUUUCCGGCACCCCCCACACCCAUCCCCAUCCCCAAUGGACCCUCUGGGAUCCUCUGGGAUCUUUUGGGACCCUCUGGGACCCCUCCCCUAUUUCUAACACCCCCCACACCCGUACCCUUCCCCGGAGCUGGAUCCUGGCUGGGCCCUGGAUCCCUGACCGGAUCCCUGACCGGAUCCCUGACCGGAUCCCUGACCGGAUCCCUGGCUGUAGCCCUGACCGGAUCCCUGACCGUACCCCUGACCAGAUCCCCAGCUGUACCCCUGACCGGAUCCCUGACCGGAUCCCUGACCGUACCCCUGACCGUACCCCUGACCAUACCCCUGACCGGAUCCCCAGCUGUACCCCUGACCGGACCCCUGACCGGAUCCCGGACCGGAUCCCGGCCCCCGGCGGAUGGGCAGGCGCCCCCCGAUGCGGGCGGGGUGCCGCAGCCCCGGCACGAAGGGGAUCCCGGGGUUCUUGUAGCCGGGGCGCUGCCGGGAUCCCCCGAAGGAGCCCGAAUCCCCUCCGUAGGAUCCCGAUCCACCUCCGUAGGAUCCUGAUCCCCCAUAGGAUCCUGAUCCACCUCCGUAGGAUCCUGAUCCACUCCCGUAGGAUCCCGAUCCACCCCCGUAGGAUCCUGAUCCACCUCCGUAGGAUC
This 712-nucleotide long non-coding RNA is filed under the name Junco hyemalis (dark-eyed junco). Its description in RNAcentral is "lncRNA (ENSJHYG00000007486.1)". The record is from RNAcentral. Lineage: Eukaryota; Metazoa; Chordata; Aves; Passeriformes; Passerellidae.